Molecule: long non-coding RNA, 542 nt
Organism: Homo sapiens (human)
Lineage: Eukaryota; Metazoa; Chordata; Mammalia; Primates; Hominidae
Exons: 4
Source: RefSeq, a predicted model, not a curated record
AGUUCUCCUCUGCACAGACUUCGGAGAUACAGCGAAGGCGGAGCAGUGUUUUCCUCAGCACAGACCCGGGCGGGCGGGCCGGGGGCACCGCGAGGGCGGAGCUGCGUUCUGCUCAGCACAGACCCGGGGUACACCUCGAAGGCAGAGCAGCUUUCUCCUCAGCACAGACCUUGGGGACACUGUCUCCCUUUGAGCAGAAUAGAUUACUGAUUUUGGGCACUCCAAGAUUUUGGGAGAGACCUCUCUCGUGAGAACCUUAUGUGGAACCCCCACCUGCUUGGCUCCUGAAGUUCUUGUUUGUGUUGGACUGCUGGGUUUUAGGAGUUAUUCUUUUUAUCUGCCUUAGUGGGUAUCCACCUUUCUCUGAGCAUAGGACUCAAGUGUCACUGAAGGAUCAGAUCACCAGUGGAAAACACAACUUCAUUCCUAAAGUCUGGGCAGAAAUCUCAGAGAAAGCUCUGGACCUUGUCAAGAAGUUGUUGGUAGUGGAUCCAAAGGCAUGUUUUACGACAGAAGAAGCCUUAAGACACCAUGGUUUCAGG